GAUGAACGCUGGCGGCGUGCCUAAUACAUGCAAGUCGAGCGAACAGACGAGGAGCUUGCUCCUCUGACGUUAGCGGCGGACGGGUGAGUAACACGUGGAUAACCUACCUAUAAGACUGGGAUAACUUCGGGAAACCGGAGCUAAUACCGGAUAACAUGUUGAACCGCAUGGUUCAACAGUGAAAGACGGUCUUGCUGUCACUUAUAGAUGGAUCCGCGCCGCAUUAGCUAGUUGGUAAGGUAACGGCUUACCAAGGCAACGAUGCGUAGCCGACCUGAGAGGGUGAUCGGCCACACUGGAACUGAGACACGGUCCAGACUCCUACGGGAGGCAGCAGUAGGGAAUCUUCCGCAAUGCGCGAAAGCCUGACGGAGCAACGCCGCGUGAGUGAAGAAGGUCUUCGGAUCGUAAAACUCUGUUAUUAGGGAAGAACAAAUGUGUAAGUAACUAUGCACGUCUUGACGGUACCUAAUCAGAAAGCCACGGCUAACUACGUG
This 497-nucleotide ribosomal RNA is filed under the name uncultured bacterium. Its description in RNAcentral is "partial 16S ribosomal RNA". It matches the Rfam family "Bacterial small subunit ribosomal RNA", at positions 28 to 507 of the family's 1533-position model. The record is from RNAcentral.